CCUACGGGUGGCAGCAGUGGGGAAUAUUGUGCAAUGGGCGAAAGCCUGACGCAGCGACGCCGCGUGAGGGAUGAAGGUCUUCGGAUCGUAAACCUCUGUCAGCAGGGAAGAACGGUCACUGUGCUAAUCAGCAGUGAAUUGACGGUACCUGCAAAGGAAGCACCGGCUAACUCCGUGCCAGCAGCCGCGGUAAUACGGAGGGUGCGAGCGUUAAUCGGAAUUACUGGGCGUAAAGCGCUCGUAGGCGGUAUGUCAAGUCAAGGGUGAAAUCCCGCGGCUCAACCGCGGAACUGCAUUUGAAACUGUUUUUCUUGAGUACCGGAGAGGUCAUCGGAAUUCCAUGUGUAGCGGUGAAAUGCGUAGAUAUAAGGAAGAACACCAGUGGCGAAGGCGGAUGACUGGACGGCAACUGACGGUGAGGCGCGAAAGCAUGGGGAGCAAACAGGAUUAGAUACCCGGGUAGUC
RNAcentral lists this ribosomal RNA (465 nucleotides) under uncultured bacterium. RNAcentral's name for it is "partial 16S ribosomal RNA". It matches the Rfam family "Bacterial small subunit ribosomal RNA", at positions 338 to 795 of the family's 1533-position model. The record is from RNAcentral.